RNAcentral lists this transfer RNA (73 nucleotides) under Chlorobium limicola. RNAcentral describes it as "tRNA-Lys". It matches the Rfam family "tRNA". From Rfam's summary of the family: Transfer RNA (tRNA) molecules are approximately 80 nucleotides in length. Their secondary structure includes four short double-helical elements and three loops (D, anti-codon, and T loops). The record is from RNAcentral. Lineage: Bacteria; Pseudomonadati; Chlorobiota; Chlorobiia; Chlorobiales; Chlorobiaceae. RNAcentral also lists the same sequence under 1 other name.
GAAUGCGUAGCUCAGCCGGUAGAGCAUCUGCCUUUUAAGCAGAGGGUCGCAGGUUCGAGUCCUGCCGCAUUCA